RNAcentral lists this ribosomal RNA (772 nucleotides) under uncultured Neocallimastigales. RNAcentral's name for it is "partial large subunit ribosomal RNA". It matches the Rfam family "Eukaryotic large subunit ribosomal RNA", at positions 23 to 635 of the family's 3401-position model. Lineage: Eukaryota; Fungi; Neocallimastigomycota; Neocallimastigomycetes; Neocallimastigales. The record is from RNAcentral.
GAGACUCUGUGCGCGUGCAUAUCAAUAAGCGGAGGAAAAGAAACUAACAAGGAUUCCCCUAGUAACGGCGAGUGAAGCGGGAAGAGCUCAAAUUUGAAAUCUUAAAGGGUUUCCCUUUACGAAUUGUAGUUUAAAGAAGUGUUUUCUGUUGAGGUUUUGGUAAAAGUUCUUUGGAAUAGGACAUCAUAGAGGGUGAGAAUCCCGUAUUUGACCUUUACUUUCAACUUUGUGAUACACUUUCAAAGAGUCGGAUUGUUUGGGAAUGCAGUCCAAAAUGGGUGGUAAAUUUCAUCUAAAGCUAAAUAUUGGCGAGAGACCGAUAGCGAACAAGUACCGUGAGGGAAAGAUGAAAAGAACUUUGAAAAGAGAGUUAAACAGUACGUGAAAUUGUCAAAAGGGAAGCGUUUGACACCAGUGUUGUUUUUCUGAAAAUCAAUUAAAGAACUGUUUAUGCUAAGCUGUUUAGACUUUAUCAGCUAUCUGUUUAGUUUGAGCUUUUCUUUAAUGCACUUUUCAGUUAACAAGUCAACAUCAAUUUCUUUUGCUGUAAAAAGCUUGAGGAAGGUGGCUUGAGAUUCGUCUUAAGUGUUUAUAGCCUCUUGCCUAUGCAGUCGGAGAGAUUGAGGUCUGCAGCGUAGAUCCUUCGGGGCUAAAUGCAUUUGUGCUAAGUUAUAGCAUUUUAUAGACAACUUGUUGACUAUGAUUUGUCUUGUAGCUUACUCGCUUAUGUUAUUUUACCUACGCUUAGGAUGUUGAAGAUGUAGCACAUCAU